RNAcentral lists this long non-coding RNA (1627 nucleotides) under Eurytemora carolleeae. RNAcentral's name for it is "uncharacterized LOC111697017". Lineage: Eukaryota; Metazoa; Arthropoda; Copepoda; Calanoida; Temoridae. The record is from RNAcentral.
UUUUUUUAUAAUUAUUAGGAUUUGAGAUUGAAAAUAUAAGCGCAGGGGGUGGAAUUGAAUAUGGAAAGCACGAAGGCGGGGGACUUUCUCUUAAACUCAACAUUAAGGAUGACCUGGAGAGAAAAACGAGACAGGAUAUGAUGAACCUUUUCUUUACUUGGUAAAUUAUGCUUAACACUGGACCUGGAGAAAUCCUAUACCCGACACUGGACCUGGAGUAAUCAUUUACCUAACCACUGACAUACAGUAAUCCUACACCCAACUCUGAACCUGGAAUAAUCCUAUACCCAACACUGGGCAUAGAGUUAUCAUAUACCCAAACUCAAAUCUGGACCUGGAAUAAUUAUUUACCUAACCACUGACAUUGAGUAAUCCUGUACCCAAACCCAACACUGGACCUGGAGUAAUCAUUUACCUAACCACUGACAUAGAGUAAUCCUGUACCCAACUCUGGACUUAGGGUAUUUCUUUACCCAACCCUGGACCUGGAAUAAUCCUUUACCCAACUCUGGACCUGGAAUAAUCCUUUAUCAAAACCUGGACCUGGAGUAAUCCUUUACCCAACUCUGGACCUGGAAUAAUCCUUUAUCAAAACCUAGACCUGGAGUAAAACUUUACCCAACCCUGGAGCUGGAGUCUUCCUAUAGCCAACCCCGGACCUGGAGUAGACAUAAACCUAACCACGGAUCUGGAGUAAUCCUAUACCUAACCCUGGACCUGGAGUAGACAUAAACCUAACCAAGGAUCUGGAGUAAUCCUAUACCUAACCCUGGACCUGGAGUAGACAUAAACCUAACCACGGAUCUGGAGUAAUCCUAUACCUAACCCCGGACCUGGAAUAAUCAAAUACACAACCCUGGGCUUGGAGUAAGCAUAUACCUAACCACGGAACAGAUGAAGAAACCUAAUUGAUCCUGAAUAAAACAUCCUUAAGCCUAAGUUAUGGUCUUUGAGGAACCACAAACCAAAAAUACUAUUAGGUUAAUCCUGAACCUACAUCUGCAGGAAAUAUGUAAUAUUUGACUCUUCUCAAAGAAUAUUAUAACUAUGCUUGCUCCCCGUGUACGGUGUAACCACUUAACUCCAAGAGAUUCCGGUUUAACCUUUCGUUAAUUUUGAAAACUUUGACCCUAGCUGAACUUUUGGAAAGACCUUCAAGCAGUCCAAUCACGUUUUACUUUUAACAGCCCUUCUUUCAAUCCUGUAAUAGAUUAUCUUUCAUGUACAUAUAACUAAACCUUCUUUCAAUCCUGUAAUAGAUUAUCUUUCAUGUACAUAUAACUAAACCUUCUUUCAAUCCAGUAAUAGAUUAUCUUUCAUGUAAAUAUAACUAAACAUUCUUUUCAAAAGAUCUUCAUUAAAUUCUCCACUUAAAGACACCAAGUAGCCAAGCCCAUGGGUUUUCUUCAAACCCCUGCACCCUGAGAAACCCCCUUUAACUCCUUUUUUCGAAUAAUACAAUAAAAAAGUUGAAUAUUCAUUUUAUUAAUACCAGAUGUAUAUUGUGUAUGUACAAUAAAUAAAAAUAUCUUUUUUCCAUAUAUUAUUCAAAUUUUGUCUCAAUAAAGAGUGUUUGUACAUAAAUGUUAUUGAUUUAAUGGGAUUGUUCACAUAUUUGAAAGUAGAA